Molecule: ribosomal RNA, 479 nt
Filed under: uncultured bacterium
Lineage: Bacteria
Description: bacterial SSU rRNA
Rfam family: Bacterial small subunit ribosomal RNA
Source: RNAcentral
UUUCGCAAUGCCCGAAAGGGUGACGAAGCGACGCCGCGUGUGGGAAGAAGGCCUUCGGGUUGUAAACCACUGUCGGGAGUUAGGAAAUGUAAGGGUGCUAAUAGUAUCCUUACUUGACUAAGGCUCCGGAGGAAGCCACGGCUAACUCUGUGCCAGCAGCCGCGGUAAUACAGAGGCGGCAAGCGUUGUUCGGAAUUAUUGGGCGUAAAGAGCACGUAGGCGGCCUUGUAAGUCAGUUGUGAAAGCCUUCUGCUUAACGGAAGAACAGCAGCUGAUACUGCAAGGCUAGAGUGCGGAAGGGGAGAGUGGAACUUCUGGUGGAGCGGUGAAAUGCGUAGAUAUCAGAAGGAACACCGGCGGCGAAGGCGACUCUCUGGUCCGUAACCGACGCUGAGUGUGCGAAAGCUAGGGGAGCAAACGGGAUUAGAUACCCCGGUUGUCCUAGCCGUAAACGAUGGGCACUAAGUAGAGGGGUUUUA